This is a non-coding RNA of Camellia sinensis, 437 nucleotides long. NCBI's taxonomy places the organism in Eukaryota, Viridiplantae, Streptophyta, Magnoliopsida, Ericales, Theaceae. The record is from RefSeq and is a predicted model, not a curated record.
AUAUAGGAGGCUAUGAUAAGGAAGAGAAAGCAGCCAGAGCUUAUGAUCUAGCAGCAUUGAAGUACUGGGGCACCACUACCACUACAAAUUUCCCUACAAGCAACUACGAGAAAGAAAUUGAAGAAAUGAAGCACAUGACCAGGCAGGAGUAUGUUGCAUCUCUUCGAAGAAAGAGCAGUGGUUUUUCUCGUGGAGCAUCAAUCUAUCGAGGAGUUACAAGGUAAACUUAACCGGAUUGAUUGUGACAUAUCUGCAUUCUUACAUAUCUUUCAUUCAGCUUUUCCUCAUCUGUAUUAGGCCAAUGUUGAUGAGUUUUAGUUCUGUCUUUUUUUCCUUUUUUUCAAUGCACUGUCAUCUUAAAAGGCACUUUGAAGUAAGAAUUCUUCUGCAUAUGUACUGGUUUAGUACCUUGUUGUGAAGAAAUUAUUGCGCAAAAG